GUUUGUAUGUGAUUUGGAGACAAAGUAUCAAGAGGCAUAGACCUGGUCGUAUAGUACCAUGACGCAAUACAUAUAACAACUCAUGUCUUUUAUGUUGUACGAAUUUAGAGACACAUUUUACAUAGAAAAUUCUUUGGGCUCCCAAGGCCAUGCCAAUUUAUCUUACAACAUGUGUUUAAAGAGUGUAAAGUGUUUCUAAUAAUUAUUAUGUCAUGUUAUUUUAUACUACAAGUGCAAUUGCACAAUAGGCUAUACCUAGAUAUCUUAGAAUCGCGUUUUAUUUGACCCCAUGUGUGCAAGGACUCCGGAUGAUUUAACGAGAAAAUCAUGGAUAGUAUGUAUGUUUGGUGGUGGUCGGCUCAUGGAGCCAAAAAGGUGUAUGUU
This 384-nucleotide long non-coding RNA is filed under the name Hordeum vulgare. RNAcentral describes it as "long non-coding RNA (HVUL_LNC011728)". Lineage: Eukaryota; Viridiplantae; Streptophyta; Magnoliopsida; Poales; Poaceae. The record is from RNAcentral.